This 480-nucleotide ribosomal RNA is filed under the name uncultured bacterium. Its description in RNAcentral is "partial 16S ribosomal RNA". It matches the Rfam family "Bacterial small subunit ribosomal RNA", at positions 28 to 507 of the family's 1533-position model. The record is from RNAcentral.
GAUGAACGCUAGCGGCAGGCCUAACACAUGCAAGUCGAGGGGUAGAAGGAGCUUGCUCCUUUGAGACCGGCGCACGGGUGCGUAACGCGUAUGCAAUCUACCUUGUACAGGGGAAUAGCCCAGAGAAAUUUGGAUUAAUGCCCCAUAGUAUAUAACCUUCGCAUGUUGGUUAUAUUAAAGUUCCAACGUUACAAGAUGAGCAUGCGUCCCAUUAGUUAGUUGGUAAGGUAACGGCUUACCAAGACGAUGAUGGGUAGGGGUCCUGAGAGGGAGAUCCCCCACACUGGUACUGAGACACGGACCAGACUCCUACGGGAGGCAGCAGUGAGGAAUAUUGGUCAAUGGUCGCAAGACUGAACCAGCCAUGCCGCGUGCAGGAAGACGGUCCUAUGGAUUGUAAACUGCUUUUAUACAGGAAGAAACCCUCCCACGUGUGGGAGCUUGACGGUACUGUAGGAAUAAGGAUCGGCUAACUCCGUG